This 807-nucleotide ribosomal RNA is filed under the name uncultured bacterium. RNAcentral's name for it is "bacterial SSU rRNA". It matches the Rfam family "Bacterial small subunit ribosomal RNA", at positions 8 to 829 of the family's 1533-position model. The record is from RNAcentral.
AGAGUUUGAUCCUGGCUCAGGACGAACGCUGGCGGCGUGCCUAACACAUUGCAAGUCGAGCGGGGGGAUUUNCUUCGGGAAUGAACCUAGCGGCGGACGGGUGAGUAACACGUGGGCAACCUGCCCUAAGGAGUGGGAUAACACCAGGAAACUGGUGCUAAUACCGCAUAACGAGUCUUCAACGCAUGUUGGAGCCUUCAAAGAUUUAUCGCCUUAGGAUGGGCCCGCGUCCCAUUAGCCAGUUGGUGAGGUAACGGCCCACCAAAGCUACGAUGGGUAGCCGACCUGAGAGGGUGAUCGGCCACAUUGGAACUGAGACACGGUCCAGACUCCUACGGGAGGCAGCAGUGGGGAAUAUUGCACAAUGGGGGAAACCCUGAUGCAGCAACGCCGCGUGAGCGAUGAAGGCCUUCGGGUUGUAAAGCUCUGUCUUCGCUGACGAUAAUGACGGUAAGCGAGGAGGAAGCCACGGCUAACUACGUGCCAGCAGCCGCGGUAAUACGUAGGUGGCAAGCGUUGUCCGGAAUUACUGGGCGUAAAGGAUGCGUAGGCGGCCUCUUAAGUGGGAUGUGAAAUGCCGGGGCUUAACCCCGGAGGUGCAUUCCAUACUGGGAGGCUAGAGUGCAGGAGAGGAAAGCGGAAUUCCCAGUGUAGCGGUGAAAUGCGUAGAGAUUGGGAGGAACACCAGUGGCGAAGGCGGCUUUCUGGACUGUAACUGACGCUGAGGCAUGAAAGUGUGGGGGAGCAAACAGGAUUAGAUACCCUGGUAGUCCACACCGUAAACGAAUGGGCACUAGGUGGUAGGGG